Molecule: transfer RNA, 67 nt
Filed under: Marmota monax (woodchuck)
Lineage: Eukaryota; Metazoa; Chordata; Mammalia; Rodentia; Sciuridae
Description: tRNA.Ala
Rfam family: tRNA
About the family: Transfer RNA (tRNA) molecules are approximately 80 nucleotides in length. Their secondary structure includes four short double-helical elements and three loops (D, anti-codon, and T loops). Further hydrogen bonds mediate the characteristic L-shaped molecular structure. tRNAs have two regions of fundamental functional importance: the anti-codon, which is responsible for specific mRNA codon recognition, and the 3' end, to which the tRNAs corresponding amino acid is attached (by aminoacyl-tRNA synthetases). tRNAs cope with the degeneracy of the genetic code in two manners: having more than one tRNA (with a specific anti-codon) for a particular amino acid; and 'wobble' base-pairing, i.e. permitting non-standard base-pairing at the 3rd anti-codon position.
Source: RNAcentral
GUUGUGGCUUAGUGGUAGAGUGCUUGCCUUGCAUGUGUGGGGCACUGGGUUCGAUUCUCAGCACACA